Molecule: long non-coding RNA, 622 nt
Filed under: Junco hyemalis (dark-eyed junco)
Lineage: Eukaryota; Metazoa; Chordata; Aves; Passeriformes; Passerellidae
Description: lncRNA (ENSJHYG00000009877.1)
Source: RNAcentral
AUAAAGUGCAGAUAUGCCUUAAUUUAUCAAUAGCACCUGAUGGAGAGGAAACUCCUACCAGCUGAAGAUGUGGAGUGAUGUAAAGCAGGAGGAUGUAUGUUCCAGGAAACAAUUACCCUGGCUCUUUGCAGAGAAAAAAAGAAGAAAGGGAGUAAAAUCUAAAGCAUUAAUUCCACACCCCUCCACAUCUCCCCCAUCCUUCUUUCACAGAUUCAUUUCCGUGGCAGAGCUGGAGCUGAUUAAGGACCACUGGCCAGAGGGGAGCAGUGUCAGGGCCACCCAGCCUGGCACCAGGCAUCCUGCAUUCAAUGUGGCAAAAUGGAGGCACGUCUUCCUAGCAGUGAGCAGAAACCUCAGCAAAGAAGCAGUCUGGUUCUCAUGGCAACCAGGAUUUCCAUAUACUGCAGGGGUACACACAGUCUGACAUCACUUUGCUGCAGGGAGGAUUUCUGUGCAUACUCAAGGACUAAAUUAAGCCCUUUGUAAAUGAAGAAUGUGUGUCCAUUUUCCUGCAUGUAACUGUAUGGCUUUCCUCCUGUGAAAGGGAGAAGAAUAGGGAAAGAAAAGAAGAUGCAAAAUUAUAUUUCUCUAAGUCAAAAUAAAAAUAGCCCUGACACACCCA